This 483-nucleotide ribosomal RNA is filed under the name uncultured bacterium. RNAcentral describes it as "bacterial SSU rRNA". It matches the Rfam family "Bacterial small subunit ribosomal RNA", at positions 28 to 497 of the family's 1533-position model. The record is from RNAcentral.
GAUGAACGCUAGCUACAGGCUUAACACAUGCAAGUCGCGGGGCAGCAUUCACUUAGCUUGCUAAGUGAGAUGGCGACCGGCGCACGGGUGAGUAACGCGUAUCCAACCUGCCCUUGUCCACGGGAUAACCCGGUGAAAACCGGCCUAAUACCGUAUGAGGUCACAAGCGGACAUCCAACUGUGACGAAAGGUUUUGCGGACAAGGAUGGGGAUGCGUCCGAUUAGCUUGACGGCGGGGUAACGGCCCACCGUGGCUACGAUCGGUAGGGGUUCUGAGAGGAAGGUCCCCCACAUUGGAACUGAGACACGGUCCAAAACUCCUACGGGAGGCAGCAGUGAGGAAUAUUGGUCAAUGGACGGGAGUCUGAACCAGCCAAGUAGCGUGCAGGAUGACGGCCCUAUGGGUUGUAAAACUGCUUUUUAUAAGGGAAUAAAAGUGAGUCUCGUGAGACUUUUUGUCAUGUACCUUAUGAAUAAGACGGC